Molecule: transfer RNA, 89 nt
Filed under: Blumeria hordei DH14
Lineage: Eukaryota; Fungi; Ascomycota; Leotiomycetes; Helotiales; Erysiphaceae
Description: tRNA-Phe for anticodon GAA
Rfam family: tRNA
About the family: Transfer RNA (tRNA) molecules are approximately 80 nucleotides in length. Their secondary structure includes four short double-helical elements and three loops (D, anti-codon, and T loops).
Source: Rfam by way of RNAcentral
GCGGCUUUAGCUCACUUGGGAGAGCGUCAGACUGAAGUCAACUUCGGUGGUAAAUCUGAAGGCACUGUGUUCGAUCCACAGAAGCCGCA